UCACAAAUAUAUUAACGCUUCCUGCCGACCUUGCACUUUGGGGUUUAAUGUGACCCAAUGCAGACCAAAGAGGGGGUGAGGAGGAGUGAUGGAUGGGACUUUCAGAUUCAGAAUGGUGACUAACGUAAUAAAAUACAGCACCGCCACGAGAAGCCAGAGGGCAGUUGAACCAACAACCGAGGGAAAAGGUCUACAGAAUACUCUCGGCUCACAGGGGCUCCUGGAGCCAAAGUGUCACCAAGAAAGAAAUGGAUGCGACUGGGACGAGUCACAGCUUUGAGUGUCUGCUGGAAUCGAGGGGGUGAGGCUGCUGCGGACCCCAGAGGAGCGUCCCUCGGCAUCGCUGCUUCUGGGCUGGUUUGGCUAGAAAUGGACAGAAACCAGACCCCCUGGGUCCCCCACCUCCGCAGAUCCAUUCUCUACGGACUGUAGAGUACAGUCAACUACUGUAGUUGAAAUAAAGUCGUGUGCAAGUAGA
Molecule: long non-coding RNA, 478 nt
Organism: Suricata suricatta (meerkat)
Lineage: Eukaryota; Metazoa; Chordata; Mammalia; Carnivora; Herpestidae
Exons: 2
Source: RefSeq, a predicted model, not a curated record